This is a long non-coding RNA of Setaria italica (foxtail millet), 2237 nucleotides long. RefSeq lists it as uncharacterized. The transcript has 4 exons. Lineage: Eukaryota; Viridiplantae; Streptophyta; Magnoliopsida; Poales; Poaceae. The record is from RefSeq and is a predicted model, not a curated record.
GGCGUGCGGAAAAUAUCUCCGUUCCGAAGGCUCGAGACCCCUCGCCUGCUUCGCCCGGCAGAGCGCCGCCUUCCCCGUCUACCUCUCGCUCUCCCACGUCCAUUCGGCCGCUUCGCCUUGCAGAUCGCCGUCUUCCUCAUCUCCCUCUCCCUCUCACACAUGCACACGGCCGCAUUGCCGCAUUCAUUUCUCAUCUUCUCGUGCACCUAUGUUCUUUCCCUCGUCUUCCUCAGUCAGCAAGAUCGACGGCGGCGGCGGCGGCGGCUCCCUUCGGCGGAUUGCCCACGGGAGGGGAUCCUCGGCUAAUCUAGUGGCCAGGGUGGCCGAGCUCGCCGGCCCACUGCUUGUUGUGGAUUCAGAUUGAUUCUAUUCCAAUUAUUUAUUUUGAUUUCCUAGAAUAGAAUGAGCCUGAGCAGCAGCUGGAUUGGCUGCUCGGUGUCCGUGCUGAUAUGGGUGCUGAAGCUUUAGGUGUAGGAAAUUUGGGUUGUCCACUACUUACGUGUAUAUCUUUACUUGGUCAAUUUUAUUUAUGUGAAGAGAUUUUUCAUUUGUAGAUAAAACUACAUGCCAGAAUGCGGAGUCGUCAGCUGCAGCAAUUGCCACCCGUGAAGUAGUCCACAAGUAUCCUUGGGCUGCCUGCCCCGGCAUCUAGCUGCACAUGAGGCCUCGUUGCCAAAGAGGCCAUCAAGGAUGUUCCUGAAAUCUAAAUACAUCGAAUUGCCGCAGCAACAACGAUCAAUCAGCCAUCAAUGGGUUCGAUGCUAUGUGCCGCAUUGAGCUAGGUGGCAAGCAUAUGGCUUCCUAUUGCUGAGUUUGGAGAAGACCUGGACAAAAUUGUUUGAACAUCUGUUUUCUUUUCCCUCAAAUGAAACUUUGGUGCUGAUAUAUCAAUUGCUUAUUCAUACCUUGCUUUUUCUAUUCUUUGAGUUAGCCUCCCUGUUCCCCAUGUUUAGAACGCAAGAAUUGUUCACAUUCUGAUGCAUACUGCACAUGUUACAUCUUCGUUUAAGUUGGGUUGUACCGUUGUAGCAAUGGUACUUUGUUUAAUUACCCAGCUAAUAUUUGAUUUGUGGUGAUGUUAUAUAGUCCGGAAACAAGGCUCUUUUCUUAUAUCAAGAAGAAAAAGUGCCUUCUGUUUUAUCCCCGUUCAUGCUGGCUCUUUUUCCAUGUGUCAAUAAUCUGAAUGUUCUUUUCCUAACUUUUGAAUUUUCCUUUCAGAUUGAAGGUUGUACUAGGUAGUGUAAGUCUCUGUGCAGAUUUUCUACUGAUAGUACCAGAUAAGUCAAUGCUUGCAGCGUGUAACUUCCAGGCGUAUGCGCCGCUGGGCAGGAUGAAAGUCGUUGCAAAUAACCCGGUGGUGACAUCAAUAGCCGAGAGCUUGGGGAAGACUCCAGCGCAAGUUGCUCUACGGUGGAAGUUGCUCUACGGUGGGGGAUCCAACAGGGUCAGAGCGUGCUUCCUAAAAGUGCCAAUGAGUCAAGGUUGAAGGAGAACAUCGACCUGUUUGGUUGGUCUAUUCCUGAGGAACUGUGUGCCAAGUUUUCUGAAAUUGAACAGGUUAAGCAAAUCAGAAACGAUUCCUUCGUGCACCCUCAGGGUAUGUACAAAACAAUUGAGGAGCUCUGGGACGGUGAGAUCUGAAUGAAAAUCAUCGCCGGUAUGAAAUCGAAUCCGUGAUCAGUGUUGAAACUGAUGCCACUCUCUAAUGCUGAAGCUAGACAUUUCCAAGGUUUUCGACUCUGUGCGUUGGGACUACUUGCUAGACCUACUGCAACGCCGAGGAUUCCCGCCGAGAUGGAGAAGCUGGGUCACAACUUUACUAACCACUGCCACAUCCAAGGUCCUCAUGAAUGGCAUGCCGGGAGAGGACAUCCAGCAUGGCAGAGGUCUCCAACAAGGGGAUCCGCUAUCACCACUUCUUUUCAUCCUAGCAAUCGACCCUCUGCAAAAAUUACCGCACCUUGCGACUGAAAACAGGACUCUAUCAAAACUAGAGGCAAAAGUGCUCGGCUACGCCUAUCUUUAUACGCAACAAUUUUCAUAAACCUGACGGCAACAGACGUGCGAAACAUCACAGACCUGCUGGACAAAUUUGGCUGCAUCACAGGCCUAAGCACUAACAUUCAGAAAAGCACGGUGGCUCCCAUCCGUUGUAAUGGAAUCGACCUAGAUUCGAUCCUAGCUCCCUUCCCGGCAGCUAGAACAUCAUUUCCGGUCAAAUACAUGGGCCUACCUCU